GCUCACGUAGCUUACCCAAAGCAUAACACUGAAGAUGUUAAGACGGGCCCUAAAAAGCCUCGAGAGCA
This 68-nucleotide transfer RNA is filed under the name Astronesthes lucifer (Pacific snaggletooth). RNAcentral's name for it is "tRNA-Phe". Lineage: Eukaryota; Metazoa; Chordata; Actinopteri; Stomiiformes; Stomiidae. The record is from RNAcentral.